This 690-nucleotide ribosomal RNA is filed under the name uncultured bacterium. RNAcentral describes it as "bacterial SSU rRNA". It matches the Rfam family "Bacterial small subunit ribosomal RNA", at positions 145 to 811 of the family's 1533-position model. The record is from RNAcentral.
AACACUGCUAACGCGGUGCUAAUACCGGAUAAUGCAGCGGAUCCGCAUGGAUAUGUUGUUAAAGCUGGCCUCUUCAUGAAAGCUAGCACUUCAGGAUGGACUUGCGUCCCAUUAGUUUGUUGGCGGGGUAACGGCCCACCAAGACUACGAUGGGUAGCCGGCCUGAGAGGGUGAUCGGCCACACUGGGACUGAGAUACGGCCCAGACUCCUACGGGAGGCAGCAGUGAGGAAUAUUGCGCAAUGGUCGCAAGACUGACGCAGCAACGCCGCGUGAGGGAUGAAGUACUUCGGUAUGUAAACCUCUGUUAGAAGGGAAGAACGGGUGGAUGUCGAACAGGCAUUCAUCGUGACGGUACCUUCAGAGAAAGCCCCGGCUAACUCCGUGCCAGCAGCCGCGGUAAUACGGGGGGGGCAAGCGUUGUCCGGAAUUAUUGGGCGUAAAGGGCGCGUAGGUGGGACAGCAAGUCUGGGGUGCAAUCUUACGGCUUAACUGUAAGCUUGCCCUGGAUACUACUGUUCUUGAGUUCGGAAGAGGGUAGUGGAAUUCCUGGUGUAGCGGUGAAAUGCGUAGAUAUCAGGAAGAACACCGGUGGCGAAGGCGGCUACCUGGUCCGAUACUGACACUGAGGCGCGAAAGUGCGGGGAGCAAACAGGAUUAGAUACCCUGGUAGUCCGCACAGUAAACGUUG